This 485-nucleotide ribosomal RNA is filed under the name Streptococcus gordonii. Its description in RNAcentral is "bacterial SSU rRNA". It matches the Rfam family "Bacterial small subunit ribosomal RNA", at positions 28 to 489 of the family's 1533-position model. The record is from RNAcentral. Lineage: Bacteria; Bacillati; Bacillota; Bacilli; Lactobacillales; Streptococcaceae.
GACGAACGCUGGCGGCGUGCCUAAUACAUGCAAGUAGAACGCACAGUUUAUACCGUAGCUUGCUACACCAUAGACUGUGAGUUGCGAACGGGUGAGUAACGCGUAGGUAACCUGCCUGGUAGCGGGGGAUAACUAUUGGAAACGAUAGCUAAUACCGCAUAAUAUUAAUUAUUGCAUGAUAAUUGAUUAAAAGGUGCAAUUGCACCACUACCAGAUGGACCUGCGUUGUAUUAGCUAGUAGGUGAGGUAACGGCUCACCUAGGCGACGAUACAUAGCCGACCUGAGAGGGUGAUCGGCCACACUGGGACUGAGACACGGCCCAGACUCCUACGGGAGGCAGCAGUAGGGAAUCUUCGGCAAUGGACGAAAGUCUGACCGAGCAACGCCGCGUGAGUGAAGAAGGUUUUCGGAUCGUAAAGCUCUGUUGUAAGAGAAGAACGGGUGUGAGAGUGGAAAGUUCACAGGGUGACGGAUCUACCAGAAA